RNAcentral lists this long non-coding RNA (3383 nucleotides) under Homo sapiens (human). RNAcentral's name for it is "HSALNT0131008". Lineage: Eukaryota; Metazoa; Chordata; Mammalia; Primates; Hominidae. The record is from RNAcentral.
GUGAAUUCUGAAACUGUGGGUGGUAACUGAAAGUGACAUAGAAUGGAAGGAAUCUUGAUUUAUAAAGUAUCACUUCAAGCAACGUCACUCAAUGACCGGCAACAUUCCUUUUGGACUUUACCUGGCUUUUAGCUAAACUUGGAGAAAGUGACAAUGCUGUUUCAUGCCCCACAAAGAAAAAAAACCUUGAUCUCUGGCAUGAAGAGUCCAUUGAAACAAGGUAUUGAGACAUCAGAUAUUUAGGAUGAAGGUUUCGUGAGGAACCAGGUACUUGAGGACAAUGAUAGCUGCCUAAAUCUACCACACCACAAUGCAGAAGACUGCACAAGGGAAGAACCUUGAGAACCACAUAAAACUCAGGCUCUGCUGCAAGCCUUUCUUGCAGGCAAAGGCAGUCUAAUAAACAUUUUUUAAAAAUCUUGCAUAGAAGAGAGAAGAAGGGAGUGAGCAGCAGAUCUAAAAUCUUUCUGAAACCACCACUAGGAUGAUAAAGUUAUCCUAACUGUGAAAAUACGGAAAAAAAGUGCAUUACUGCAUCACAGUGCUGAUUACAGGGAAGAGACUUAUAAUACAUGUGCUUUGAAGUGGCAGUCUUCAAAAGGUACAGCUUCUGAGAGAAAAAGAUGAAAAACUAAGAGGGAGGCACUGCAGUGACUGGGUGGUAAAAAAUAAAAGAAGUGGAAGGAAAAGUUACAGUCUUACAAGGCAAAGGGUAACAUGAAAGUCAGAGGGUACAUAACCACUUCCUGCAUCAACAGAAAUCUCAUCCCUGAAAAAAUGUAGACUGUUGCUAUACAGACAGAGGAGGAUGACAAGCCAUUAAACUAGAAAUCUUGUAAACCACCACUCAUAUGCAAAACGAAUAGUAUUGAGAGGUGAAGCUAGCAGGGCUUCUUGGUCGAGUGUGGACUUGGAGAACUUUUCUGUCUAGCUAGAGGAUUGUAAACGCACCAAUCAGCACUCUGCAUCUAACUAAAGGAUUGUAAAUGCACCAAUCAGCACUCUGUAAAAUGGACCAAUCAGCACUCUGUAAAGUGGAAGAAUCAGUGCUCUGUAAAAUGCACCAAUCAGCAGGAUGUGGGUGGGGCCAAAUAAGGUUAUAAAAGCUGGCCACCGGAGCCUGCAGGAACAACCCAAUUGGGUCCUUUUCCAUCCUGUGGAAGCUUUCUUCUUUCACUCUUCACAAUAAAUCUUGCUGAUGCUCACUCUUUAUGAGCUGUAACACUCACCAGAGGGUCUGUGGCUUCAUUCCUGAAGUCAGUGAGACCACGAACCCACCAACCCACGGGGAGGAACAAACAACUCCAGAUGCACUGCCUUUAAGGGCUGUAACACUCACUGCAAAGGUCUGCGGCUUCACUCCUGAAGUAAAUGAAACCACGAACCCACUGGAAGGAAGAAACUCGGGACACAUCUGAACGUCUGAAGGAACAAACUCCGGGCACACCAUCUUUAAGAACUGUAACAGCUCACCACGAGGGUCCACGGCUUCGUUCUUGAAGUCAGCGAGACCAAGAACCCACCAGAAGGAACCAAUUCUGGACACAGGGUGAAAUGGAAUAAGUCUAUGCAAAGUUACCACAAAGACACAAAAAGUGAGAAUUAACACAUUUCAGCUGGAUGAAACUUCUCACCAGAAACAACCAUGAAGAAAAAUAAACAUGUAAGAAAUGAUUCAAAAUGAGUUAAAUAUACUAAAAUCUCAAAUCUGAAGAGCCACUUUGAAUUAGAAAUCUGAAAACUGAAAGCAAAAAUAGAAAAAGCAGAAAAAAAUGAACAGAGUUGAUUGAACUUAGCAAAGAAAUGAUAAAAAGAAGACAAAAUCAUCUCAGAGUGAAGAAGACCGAAAUGGAAGAUAAUAAAGUGAAUUGACGGAACGCAAGAAAAUAAUCUGCAAAUGAAUAUAAGUUAACAAACAUCACAAAGCACCAGCUCCUUUAAUUGAGAAAAGAAGAAAGCACGAUGUACAAAAUAAUGACAAGGGGGACUAACCACUGAAACGGUAUGCAUCUGAGGAGAUGGCGAAGACAUUUUUAACAUCUUUAUCAGGAUCUACUGGGAGCAAGGACAUUACCAACCACAGGAGAUAACUAUAAAGCAUUCCAAAAGUAGCUCCUGUCAUGCCCUGUCCUGGGUUCUGCUAGAGGCACAGUGUUUGACCAUGGAGCAUCAAGUGACCAAGUGACCAGUGCCCCGUCAUGAGCUGCAUCGGGUCACACCCACAAAGACAUAGUUUCAUGCUGUACCUGUUAAGAGGUCCUGGCUUCCAGAAGGAAAUUACUUCCACCAGUGGACAUGGUGGAGGAGAGUGGAGGGGAGUAAGAUUAGAAGCAAGGAUACCAGUAGGAUGCAGUUACAGCAAUCCAGGUGGCUGUGCUACAAUUGUAAUAACAUCAGAUCUGUGCUGGUCUAGGCUGACCAUGGUCUGAGCCACCAGCCAAAAGCCACCAGGAUUGUAUCUGAAUUGAAUGAGUUGGAAUUGACCUUUUGUUAAAUGAGCUGAAUCUCCCGAAAAGAAGAAGCCCAUGAUGGAGAACUGUGGAGUACCAGCAUCUCUGUUGGAGAGUGUUAGAAAGGACUUACUACAGGAGCCUGGGCCUCGUGUGAGGAGCAGUGGACAUCUCCGGAGGGAGCCACCUGAACAGAUGCUGGCUGUCUCGUGCCGAGGCCCCGCGCCAGAUCACAGAACUGUGAAGUGAUCCUGGGCAGAGUUGUAUUUAGGACCAAGACAUCUGACAGCAUCACUGGGCCUUCUUUCAGAGAACAAUUGGCACACUUGAAUGCAACGGAGUGGAUAGGUGACAGCUCCUUCCCACGGCAGCUGUGGCAGCUCCAGCUUUCUGUCUAAUCAAAUUAGUUCCUCUCUGCACUCAAACAAGUCAGAAGCAAUCAUCUCCGAAUCCACGCGCAGUGAGCAAAUGCAAACACUGUCAUGGUGUGACGCUAGUAGGACAAGAGGUGAAGGCUGCUAAUAAAUACAGACAUACCAUGUGGCUAUAAUAAGCCACUUAGAAAAAUAGUGGAUAUAGAUUUUCUGUCUUUUACUUAAUCUAUUUUCUUUCCCACAAGGGAGAGACCAGGCAGCUAUCGAGGGAGGAUAAAUGCACUUGCGUUGUGGACGCUCUGCUUCUCUGCUAUUCCCAUUGUUUUCCCGGUGGAGAUGGCACCAGUCUCUAGCCAUUACUGGGCCUAUUGUCUCCCCAUAGGUUUCCUAGAGUCACUAGCUCUGGAUAGCCCAUUUAGCAGUAUCACCAAUGCCACUUGGCUUCUGUAUGAUGAGAGCAGGGAGUCAGCUACGAUAAAGGAAGCCUGUUUUGAGAGACUUCUCCUAAUAUUAACAAGUACAAAGGAAUAAUGGAUUUGAGAAGCAGAAACAUGACCCA